Molecule: unclassified non-coding RNA, 203 nt
Filed under: Brucella sp. 191011898
Lineage: Bacteria; Pseudomonadati; Pseudomonadota; Alphaproteobacteria; Hyphomicrobiales; Brucellaceae
Description: BASRCI408
Source: RNAcentral
GAAAGGGCCGCCUUGCUUGAAGCAAGGCGGCCCUUUUCUAUUGAACACCAAAAACUUAGAAAUUGACGUUUGAAGCGGCAUAUGUGGCAGCCGGGAUUCAAACGUCGAAUUCAAUCCGCUAGAGCGCAUCCCGAAAAGUGUGAAACGGUUUUCGGAAAAGAUGCGCGUCAAAACAAAGGAUUAGAGCGCCGAUCUGAUUCAAU